GACGAACGCUGGCGGCGUGCCUAAUACAUGCAAGUUGAGCGAUGAAGAUUGGUGCUUGCACCAAUUUGAAGAGCAGCGAACGGGUGAGUAACGCGUGGGGAAUCUGCCUUUGAGCGGGGGACAACAUUUGGAAACGAAUGCUAAUACCGCAUAACAACUUUAAACAUAAGUUUUAAGUUUGAAAGAUGCAAUUGCAUCACUCAAAGAUGAUCCCGCGUUGUAUUAGCUAGUUGGUGAGGUAAAGGCUCACCAAGGCGAUGAUACAUAGCCAACCUGAGAGGGUGAUCGGCCACAUUGGGACUGAGACACGGCCCAAACUCCUACGGGAGGCAGCAGUAGGGAAUCUUCGGCAAUGGACGAAAGUCUGACCGAGCAACGCCGCGUGAGUGAAGAAGGUUUUCGGAUCGUAAAACUCUGUUGGUAGAGAAGAACGUUGGUGAGAGUGGAAAGCUCAUCAAGUGACGGUAACUACCCAGAAAGGGACGGCUAACUACGUG
This 497-nucleotide ribosomal RNA is filed under the name uncultured bacterium. RNAcentral describes it as "partial 16S ribosomal RNA". It matches the Rfam family "Bacterial small subunit ribosomal RNA", at positions 28 to 507 of the family's 1533-position model. The record is from RNAcentral.